AUACGUAGGGAGCAAGCGUUAUCCGGAUUUAUUGGGUGUAAAGGGUGCGUAGACGGAUAAACAAGUUAGUUGUGAAAUACCUCGGCUUAACUGAGGAACUGCAACUAAAACUAUAUAUCUUGAGUACUGGAGGGGAAAGCGGAAUUCCUAGUGUAGCGGUGAAAUGCGUAGAUAUUAGGAAGAACACCGGUGGCGAAGGCGGCUUUCUGGACAGCAACUGACGCUGAGGCGCGAAAGCGUGGGGAGCAAACAGGAUUAGAUACCCUGGUAGUCCACGCCGUAAACGAUGGAUACUAGGUGUGGGGGGACUGACCCCUUCCGUGCCGCAGUAAACACAAUAAGUAUCUCACCUGGGGAGUACGACCGCAAGGUUGAAACUCAAAGGAAUUGACGGGG
Molecule: ribosomal RNA, 396 nt
Filed under: uncultured bacterium
Lineage: Bacteria
Description: partial 16S ribosomal RNA
Rfam family: Bacterial small subunit ribosomal RNA
Source: RNAcentral